This 534-nucleotide ribosomal RNA is filed under the name uncultured archaeon. RNAcentral describes it as "bacterial SSU rRNA". It matches the Rfam family "Archaeal small subunit ribosomal RNA", at positions 325 to 859 of the family's 1478-position model. The record is from RNAcentral.
ACGGGGUGCAGCAGGCGCGAAACCUCCGCAAUGUGAGAAAUCGCGACGGGGGGAUCCCAAGUGCCAUUCUUAACGGGAUGGCUUUUCAUUAGUGUAAAGGGCUUUUGGAAUAAGGGCUGGGCAAGACCGGUGCCAGCCGCCGCGGUAACACCGGCAGCUCUAGUGGUAGCAGUUUUUAUUGGGCCUAAAGCGUCCGUAGCCGGUUUAAUAAGUCUCUGGUGAAAUCCUGUAGCUUAACUGUGGGAAUUGCUGGAGAUACUAUUAGACUUGAGACCGGGAGAGGUUAGAGGUACUCCCAGGGUAGAGGUGAAAUUCUGUAAUCCUGGGAGGACCGCCUGUUGCGAAGGCGUCUAACUGGAACGGUUCUGACGGUGAGGGACGAAAGUUAGGGGCGCGAACCGGAUUAGAUACCCGGGUAGUCCUAACCGUAAACGAUGCGGACUUGGUGUUGGGGUGGCUUUGAGCUGCUCCAGUGCCGAAGGGAAGCUGUUAAGUCCGCCGCCUGGGAAGUACGGUCGCAAGACUGAAACUUAA